AUUGAACGCUGGCGGAAUGCUUUACACAUGCAAGUCGAACGGCAGCACGGACUUCGGUCUGGUGGCGAGUGGCGAACGGGUGAGUAAUGUAACGGAACGUGCCCAGUCGUGGGGGAUAACGUAGUGAAAAUUACGCUAAUACCGCAUACGAUCUAUGGAUGAAAGCGGGGGAUCGCAAGACCUCGCGCGAUUGGCGCGGCCGAUAUCAGAUUAGGUAGUUGGUGGGGUAAAGGCCCACCAAGCCAACGAUCUGUAGCUGGUCUGAGAGGACGACCAGCCACACUGGAACUGAGACACGGUCCAGUCUCCUACGGGAGGCAGCAGUGGGGAAUUUUGGACAAUGGGCGAAAGCCUGAUCCAGCCAUUCCGCGUGCAGGAUGAAGGCCCUCGGGUUGUAAACUGCUUUUGUACAGAACGAAAAGGUUUCUACUAAUACUAGGAGCUCAUGACGGUACUGUAAGAAUAAGCACCGGCUAACUACGUGCCAGCCGCCGCCGUAA
This 500-nucleotide ribosomal RNA is filed under the name uncultured bacterium. RNAcentral's name for it is "partial 16S ribosomal RNA". It matches the Rfam family "Bacterial small subunit ribosomal RNA", at positions 30 to 523 of the family's 1533-position model. The record is from RNAcentral.